This 556-nucleotide ribosomal RNA is filed under the name Saccharomyces x bayanus. RNAcentral's name for it is "Saccharomyces bayanus partial large subunit ribosomal RNA". It matches the Rfam family "Eukaryotic large subunit ribosomal RNA", at positions 48 to 606 of the family's 3401-position model. Lineage: Eukaryota; Fungi; Ascomycota; Saccharomycetes; Saccharomycetales; Saccharomycetaceae. The record is from RNAcentral.
UACGGGAGGAAAAGAAACCAACCGGGAUUGCCUUAGUAACGGCGAGUGAAGCGGCAAAAGCUCAAAUUUGAAAUCUGGUACCUUUGGUGCCCGAGUUGUAAUUUGGAGAGGGCAACUUUGGGACCGUUCCUUGUCUAUGUUCCUUGGAACAGGACGUCAUAGAGGGUGAGAAUCCCGUGUGGCGAGGAGUGCGGUUCUAUGUAAAGUGCCUUCGAAGAGUCGAGUUGUUUGGGAAUGCAGCUCUAAGUGGGUGGUAAAUUCCAUCUAAAGCUAAAUAUUGGCGAGAGACCGAUAGCGAACAAGUACAGUGAUGGAAAGAUGAAAAGAACUUUGAAAAGAGAGUGAAAAAGUACGUGAAAUUGUUGAAAGGGAAGGGCAUUUGAUCAGACAUGGUGUUUUGCGCCCUCUGCUCCUUGUGGGUGGGGGAAUCUCGCAGUUCACUGGGCCAGCAUCAGUUUUGGUGGCAGGAUAAAUCCGUAGGAAUGUAACUUGCUUCGGGAAGUAUUAUAGCCUAUGGGAAUACUGCCAGCUGGGACUGAGGACUGCGAACGUAGUC